UUAUUACGGGGCUUAGCUGGCCGUACCUAUCGAAUACUUCUGCUUUAUGCCUCGGUGCAAGGCGGAGAACAGAAAGCGGAGAAUUAAAAAGGGGCGGUCGCAGCUGCUAUUGAAGUUCACCCUUGCCGACAGCGGCACUUUUUUCCUGUAAUUGUUUAUACGGUUAAUUUAAGAGAUUUCAAUAUUUUAUCUAUUUAUUUUAUUUUAAAUUAUAUAUCGCAAAAAUGCCUGAACUUAAGAAAUUAUUUGAGAAUCUGAGCGGCGCGGGGAAAGCCAUCGGCGUUCUGACGAGCGGAGGGGAUGCUCAAGGCAUGAACGGCGCGGUGAGGGCCGUGGUCCGCAUGGGGAUCUACGUCGGGGCGAAAGUCUACUUCAUUCACGAGGGUUACCAGGGCAUGGUGGACGGGGGCGAUAACAUAAAGGAAGCAAACUGGGAGAGUGUCUCCAGCAUGAUACAAGUGGGCGGCACGGUGAUUGGCAGCGCCCGCUGUAAGGAGUUCCGGGCGCGCGAGGGGCGUCUGAGGGCCGCCCGUAACCUGGUGGAGCGCGGCAUCACCAACCUGUGCGUGAUUGGAGGAGACGGCAGCCUGACGGGAGCCAAUCUCUUCAGGGAGGAGUGGAGCGGACUGCUGGAGGAGCUGGUCCAGCAGGGCUCGAUCGCGGAGGAGGCGGCCCAGACGUACUCCGCCCUGCGCAUCGUGGGCAUGGUGGGGUCCAUCGACAACGACUUCUGCGGCACGGACAUGACCAUCGGGACGGACUCGGCCCUGCACAGGAUCAUCGAGGUGGUGGACGCCAUCAUGACCACCGCCCAGAGCCACCAGAGGACGUUCGUGUUGGAGGUCAUGGGCAGGCAUUGUGGGUACCUGGCCCUGGUCAGUGCUCUGGCCUGUGGGGCAGACUGGGUCCUGAUCCCAGAGCUGCCUCCAGAGGUCGGAUGGGAGGACCAGAUGUGCCAGAAGCUGUCUGAGAAUCGCGCGGGGAAGAAAAGACUGAACAUCAUUAUUGUAGCCGAAGGGGCGAUUGAUUCCGACAACAAGCCCAUCACCACAGACUUCAUUAAGGACCUGGUGGUGCGGCGCCUGGGCUUCGACACGCGGGUGACCAUCCUGGGGCACGUCCAGCGGGGAGGAACCCCGUCCGCUUUCGACAGGAUUCUGGCCAGUCGGAUGGGUGUGGAGGCGGUGCUGGCGCUGCUGGAGGCCUCUGUGGACACGCCCGCCUGCGUGGUGUCGCUCUGCGGGAACCAGGCCGUGCGGCUGCCCCUCAUGGAGUGCGUGCAGAUGACCCAGGAGGUGCAGAAGGCCAUGGAUGAGAAGAGGUUUGAGGAGGCUGUACGACUGCGGGGAAGGAGUUUUGAGAACAAUCUGAACACUUACAAACUGCUGGCUCACCGCAGACCGGACUCUGAGCUUCCGCACAGCUCCUUCAACGUGGCGGUGCUGAACGUGGGCGCGCCCGCCGCAGGCAUGAACGCCGCCGUGCGCUCCGCCGUCCGGGUGGGCAUCACCGAGGGGCACACCAUGUUCGCCGUCAGCGACGGGUUCGAGGGCUUCGCCAGGGGCCAGAUUAAGGAGAUCAAAUGGGGGGACGUGGGAGGCUGGACAGGCCAAGGCGGCUCGCUUUUGGGGACAAAACGAACACUUCCUGCGAAACACAUCGAAAAAAUUGCCGAACAAAUGCGCAUCCACAACAUCAACGCCCUGCUGGUGAUCGGGGGAUUCGAGGCCCUGGAGAGCCUGCUGCAGCUGCGCGAGGCUCGCGCUGCCUUCGAGGAGCUUUGCGUCCCGCUCUGUAUGCUGCCCGCCACCAUAAGUAACAAUGUGCCCGGCACCGAUUUCAGUAUCGGCGUCGACACCUCCCUCAAUGCCAUCGUGGAGACGUGCGACCGCAUCAAGCAGUCGGCGAGCGGGACCAAGCGCCGCGUCUUCAUCAUCGAGACCAUGGGAGGCUACUGCGGGUACCUGGCCAGCGUCGGCGGGCUGGCGGCUGGAGCCGACGCCGCCUACAUUUACGAGGAGCCCUUCGACAUCCGGGACCUUCAGGCCAACGUGGAGCACCUGACGGAGAAGAUGAAGACCAGCAUUCAGAGGGGACUAGUUCUGAGAAAUGAGAACAGCAGUCAAAACUACACCACGGAUUUCAUCUACCAGCUGUACACCGAGGAAGGCAGGGGCGUGUUCGACUGCAGGAAGAACGUGCUGGGCCACAUGCAACAGGGAGGUGCUCCGUCACCUUUCGAUAGAAACUUUGGAACGAAGAUCUCAGCCAAGGCCAUGCUGUGGAUCUCCAAGAAACUGCAGGAGUCGUACAGACAAGGGAAGGUGUUUGUGUGUGUGUGUGCGUGUGUAUGUGUGUAAUAACAGUGUUGUUGUCGUGGUUACGCAGGGAAGGUGUUUGUGUGUUAGUGUGUGUGUAUGUGUGUAAUGACGGUGUUGUUGUGGUGGUUACGCAGGGAAGGUGUUUGUGUGGUUGUGUGUGUGUGUGUGUGUGUGUAAUGACGGUGUUGUUGUCGUGGUUACGCAGGGAAGGUGUUUGUGUGUAAUGACGGAGUUGUUGUCGUGGUUAUGCAGGGAAGGUGUUUGUGUGUUAGUGUGUGUGUAUGUGUGUAAUGACGGUGUUGUUGUCGUGGUUACGCAGGGAAGGUGUUUGUGUGUAAUGACGGAGUUGUUGUCGUGGUUAUGCAGGGAAGGUGUUUGUGUGUAAUGACGGAGUUGUUGUCGUGGUUAUGCAGGGAAGGUGUUUGUGUGUUAGUGUGUGUGUAUGUGUGUAAUGACGGUGUUGUUGUCGUGGUUACACAGGGAAGGUGUUUGUGUGUGUGUGUCUUUGUGUGUAAUGAAGGAGUUGUUGUCGUGGUUACACAGGGAAGGUGUUUGUGUGUGUGUGUGUAUGUGUGUGUUUGUGUGUUAGUGUUUGUGUAUGUGUGUAAUGACGGUGUUGUUGUCGUGGUUACGCAGGGAAGGUGUUAGUGUGUGUGUGUGUGUGUUUGUGUGUAAUGACGGUGUUGUUGUCGUGGUUACACAGGGAAGGUGUUUGUGUGUGUGUGUGUGUAUGUGUGUAAUGACGGUGUUGUCGUCGUGGUUACGCAGGGAAGGUGUUUGCUAACUCGGAGGACUCGGCCUGCCUGCUGGGGAUGCGCCGGAGGGCGCUGGUCUUCCAGCCCGUCAGCCAGCUGAAGGACGAGACCGACUUCAUUCACAGGAUCCCGAAGGAGCAGUGGUGGCUGAAGCUCCGCCCCCUGAUGAAGAUCCUGGCCAAGUACAAGACCAGCUUUGACGUGUCCGACUCGGGCCAGCUGGAGCACCUGGUGCGCAACAGGCCCAAGGAGUCCGACCCCGCCAUCUGAAGCCCCGCCCCCACGAAGCCCCGCCUCCUGAAGCCCCGCCCCCC
Molecule: RNA transcript, 3390 nt
Organism: Anguilla rostrata (American eel)
Lineage: Eukaryota; Metazoa; Chordata; Actinopteri; Anguilliformes; Anguillidae
Gene name: ATP-dependent 6-phosphofructokinase, platelet type-like
Exons: 24
Source: RefSeq, a predicted model, not a curated record